GACGAACGCUGGCGGCGUGCUUAACACAUGCAAGUCGAACGGAAAGGCCCUGCUUUUGUGGGGUGCUCGAGUGGCGAACGGGUGAGUAACACGUGAGUAACCUGCCCUUGACUUUGGGAUAACUUCAGGAAACUGGGGCUAAUACCGGAUAGGAGCUCCUGCUGCAUGGUGGGGGUUGGAAAGUUUCGGCGGUUGGGGAUGGACUCGCGGCUUAUCAGCUUGUUGGUGGGGUAGUGGCUUACCCAGGCUUUGACGGGUAGCCGGCCUGAGAGGGUGGCCGGGCACAUUGGGACUGCGAUACGGCGCAGACUCCUACGGGGGGCAGCAGUGGGGAAUAUUGCACAAUGGGCGGAAGCCUGAUGCGGCAACGCCGCGUGUGGGAUGACGGCCUUCGGGUUGUAAACCGCUUUCGCCUGUGACGAAGCGUGAGUGACGGUAAUGGGUAAAGAAGCACCGGCUAACUACGUG
This 468-nucleotide ribosomal RNA is filed under the name uncultured bacterium. RNAcentral describes it as "partial 16S ribosomal RNA". It matches the Rfam family "Bacterial small subunit ribosomal RNA", at positions 28 to 507 of the family's 1533-position model. The record is from RNAcentral.